Molecule: ribosomal RNA, 301 nt
Filed under: uncultured eukaryote
Lineage: Eukaryota
Description: SSU rRNA
Rfam family: Eukaryotic small subunit ribosomal RNA
Source: RNAcentral
CUGGUUGAUCCUGCCAGUAGUCAUAUGCUUGUCUCAAAGAUUAAGCCAUGCAUGUCUAAGUAUAAGCUGCUUAUACUGUGAAACUGCGAAUGGCUCAUUAAAUCAGUUAUAGUUUAUUUGAUGGUACCUUACUACUCGGAUAACCGUAGUAAACCUAGAGCUAAUACGUGCGUAAAUCCCGACUUCUGGAAGGGACGUAUUUAUUAGAUAAAAGACCGACCGGCUUCGGCCGACCCUCGGUGAAUCAUGAUAACUUCACGAAUCGCAUGGCCUCGUGCCGGCGAUGUUUCAUUCAAAUUUC